RNAcentral lists this ribosomal RNA (499 nucleotides) under uncultured Anaerococcus sp. RNAcentral's name for it is "partial 16S ribosomal RNA". The record is from RNAcentral. Lineage: Bacteria; Bacillati; Bacillota; Tissierellia; Tissierellales; Peptoniphilaceae.
CACGUAAUUAGCCGGUCCUUAUUCGUAUGGUACUGUCAUUUUCUUCCCAUACAAAAGAUUUUUACAACCCGAAGGCCUUCUAAAUCACGCGGCGUCGCUGCAUCAGGGUUUCCCCCCAUUGUGCAAAAUUCCCCACUGCUGCCUCCCGUAGGAGUCUGGGCCGUGUCUCAGUCCCAAUGUGGCCGUACACUCUCUCAAGCCGGCUACUGAUCGUUGCCUUGGUAGGCUUUUACCCCACCAACUAGCUAAUCAGACGCGAGUCCAUCUUACACCGAUAAAUCUUUGAUGAUAAUCUCAUGCGAGACUAUCAUAUCAUAGGGUAUUAUUCGUCGUUUCCAACGGCUAUCCCCUUGUGCAAGGCAGGUUACUCACGCGUUACUCACCCGUCCGCCACUAAUCCACUUAAAGUCACUCCGAAGAGAUCAUUUAAGUUUUCAUCGUUCGACUUGCAUGUGUUAUGCACGCCGCCAGCGUUAUCCUGUAGCCAGGAUCAAACUAC